This is a non-coding RNA of Oesophagostomum dentatum (nodular worm), 97 nucleotides long. Lineage: Eukaryota; Metazoa; Nematoda; Chromadorea; Rhabditida; Strongylidae. The record is from Rfam.
UUUCCCAUUCCUGAACAUAUACUAAAAUUGGAACAAUACAGAGAAGAUGGCCCCUGCGCAGGGAGGACACGCAAUUCGUGAAGCGCUCCAAAAUUUU